AAGAAAUUUAAGAACUACUUAAACUUCUCCCACCCUUUAAUUUCGGAUAGUUUUGACCCCAACGAGUGUGCUUGGGCAUAUGGCAUGAAUAUCUUCGACCUUGAUGCAUGGAGAAAGACAAACAUUAGUCAUACUUACCAUCACUGGCUUCAAAAGGUAUGCUUAAAGCUUCUAAAACUUAAUUAGAGCUUAUAAUUUAGCAGUUUCUUCAUCAUUUUUUGCCCUUAGUUGCACCUGAAUUUCUAAUUGAUUUCUCUUUCACUCUUUUUAGAACUUGAAAUCAGACUUAAGUUUAUGGCAGUUGGGGACUCUACCGCCUGGUUUAAUAGCAUUCCAUGGCCAUGUUCAUAUUAUUGAUCCCUAUUGGCACAUGUUGGGGCUUGGAUACCAAGAAAACACCACCAUAGCAGAUGC
This 414-nucleotide long non-coding RNA is filed under the name Elaeis guineensis (African oil palm). RNAcentral's name for it is "long non-coding RNA (EGUI_LNC047109)". The record is from RNAcentral. Lineage: Eukaryota; Viridiplantae; Streptophyta; Magnoliopsida; Arecales; Arecaceae.